RNAcentral lists this microRNA precursor (86 nucleotides) under Marmota monax (woodchuck). Lineage: Eukaryota; Metazoa; Chordata; Mammalia; Rodentia; Sciuridae. The record is from RNAcentral.
AGCACAAUUGCUAGAUUAUAUGGUAAAUAUAUAUUUUUAAACUAUUUUCUAGAAUGGCUUUGCCAUUGUACAUUUCUACCACCAAU